UGAACGCUAGCGGCAGGCUUAAUACAUGCAAGUCGAACGGGAUUCGGGGUAGCAAUACUUUGAUGAGAGUGGCGCACGGGUGCGUAACGCGUAUGCAACCUACCUUUAACAGGGGAAUAGCCCCGAGAAAUCGGGAUUAAUACUCCGUAACAUUGCGGUGUGGCAUCACACUGCAGUUAAAGAUUUAUCGGUUAAAGAUGGGCAUGCGUGACAUUAGCUAGUUGGUGAGGUAACGGCUCACCAAGGCAACGAUGUCUAGGGGUCCUGAGAGGGUUAUCCCCCACACUGGUACUGAGACACGGACCAGACUCCUACGGGAGGCAGCAGUAAGGAAUAUUGGUCAAUGGGCGCAAGCCUGAACCAGCCAUGCCGCGUGCAGGAAGACGCCCUAUGGGUUGUAAACUGCUUUUGUCAGGGAAUAAACCCCCGCUCGUGAGCGGGGCUGAAGGUACCUGAAGAAUAAGCAUCGGCUAACUCCGUGCCAGCAGCCGCGGUAAUACGGAGGAUGCAAGCGUUAUCCGGAUUCAUUGGGUUUAAAGGGUGCGCAGGCGGAUUGGUAAGUCAGGGGUGAAAUCCCACAGCUCAACUGUGGAACUGCCUUUGAUACUGUCAGUCUAGAGUAUAGUUGAAGUUGGCGGAAUGUGUCAUGUAGCGGUGAAAUGCUUAGAUAUGACACAGAACACCGAUCGCGAAGGCAGCUAGCUAAGCUAUAACUGACGCUCAUGCACGAAAGCGUGGGGAUCAAACAGGGUUAGAUACCCUGGUAGUCCACGCUGUAAACGAUGAUUACUCGAUGUUGGCGAUACACAGUCAGCGUCUGAGCGAAAGCAAUAAGUAAUCCACCUGGGGAGUACGAUCGCAAGUAUGAAACUCAAGGAAUUGACGGGACCCCGCACAAGCGGUGGAUCAUGUUGUUUAAUUCGAUGAUANCCGAAGAANCUUACCAGG
RNAcentral lists this ribosomal RNA (948 nucleotides) under uncultured Bacteroidota bacterium. RNAcentral describes it as "bacterial SSU rRNA". It matches the Rfam family "Bacterial small subunit ribosomal RNA", at positions 30 to 978 of the family's 1533-position model. The record is from RNAcentral. Lineage: Bacteria; Pseudomonadati; Bacteroidota.